RNAcentral lists this ribosomal RNA (301 nucleotides) under uncultured bacterium. RNAcentral describes it as "partial 16S ribosomal RNA". It matches the Rfam family "Bacterial small subunit ribosomal RNA", at positions 509 to 807 of the family's 1533-position model. The record is from RNAcentral.
CAGCAGCCGCGGUAAUACGAAGGGUGCAAGCGUUACUCGGAAUUACUGGGCGUAAAGCGUGCGUAGGUGGUUGUUUAAGUCUGCUGUGAAAGCCCUGGGCUCAACCUGGGAAUUGCAGUGGAUACUGGGCGACUAGAGUAAGGUAGAGGAUAGUGGAAUUUCCGGUGUAGCAGUGAAAUGCGUAGAGAUCGGAAGGAACAUCUGUGGCGAAGGCGACUAUCUGGGCCAUUACUGACACUGAGGCACGAAAGCGUGGGGAGCAAACAGGAUUAGAUACCCCUGUAGUCCCUGUCUCUUAUAC